This 698-nucleotide long non-coding RNA is filed under the name Ananas comosus (pineapple). RNAcentral's name for it is "long non-coding RNA (ACOM_LNC015041)". The record is from RNAcentral. Lineage: Eukaryota; Viridiplantae; Streptophyta; Magnoliopsida; Poales; Bromeliaceae.
AUGUCGCCGCCAAUACAUCAACAAUGGUGGCGACAACUAUACAUCGCUACCAAUAUUAAUAAGGGAUAAUUGCCUAUAUACCCCUCAUACGUUUGAAAAUAUUAUACUUUUUUUUUCUUUCUAAAAUACCCUUCAUAUGUUUCACCGUUAUUGCAAAAUACCCCCGCAGUUAUCUCCUGUUAAGUUAACUUGGGUUAAAUGUGAGUUAACUAUCUACCACAGUUAAAAAAUAAUUACAAUGUCAAUUUUGCCCUUAACUUAAGGACAAAUAAAAAAUGUUGGUGACAGUAGAGGGGUAUAUUGGAAAAGACCAAAAGUCAAAAUACUUUUUGUACACCUGACUUUAAGGGCAAAUAAAAAAAUCAGUGAUGGUGGAAAGGUAUACUUGAAAGGGCAAAAUAGUAAUUUUACAAAGAUAAUAUAGUUAAUUAACAGAUUUUAACUCUAGGGGUAUAUUAGAAAUAGGUUGGAACGUAGAAAGGGUAUUUUUAAUAUUAGCCUUCUAAAAAGGGUAAAUCGAAAAGUCGGAAACUUUUCAGGGAUAUAUAAGCAAUUGCCCCUAUUAAUAAUAUGCAGCCAAGGGGGCAGGAGCCGGAGCUGGUGGGGUGGGUGUAGUGUGGUGUGGGGCCAUGUGGGGAAGGGGGUUGGGUAGCCAAUUAUUUUAUUUUAUUUUAUUUUAUUUUAUUUUAUUUUAUUUU